GAUGAACGCUAGCUACAGGCUUAACACAUGCAAGUCGAGGGGCAGCAUGGUCUUAGCUUGCUAAGGCCGAUGGCGACCGGCGCACGGGUGAGUAACACGUAUCCAACCUGCCGUCUACUCUUGGACAGCCUUCUGAAAGGAAGAUUAAUAUCCGAUAGCAUAUAUUUCCCGCAUGGGUUUUAUAUUAAAGAAAUUCGGUAUGAGAUGGGGAUGCGUUCCAUUAGUUUGUUGGCGGGGUAACGGCCCACCAAGGCGACGAUCAGUAGGGGUUCUGAGAGGAAGGUCCCCCACAUUGGAACUGAGACACGGUCCAAAACUCCUACGGGAGGCAGCAGUGAGGAAUAUUGGUCAAUGGACGAGAGUCUGAACCAGCCAAGUAGCGUGCAGGAUGACGGCCCUAUGGGGUUGUAAAAC
RNAcentral lists this ribosomal RNA (414 nucleotides) under uncultured bacterium. RNAcentral describes it as "bacterial SSU rRNA". It matches the Rfam family "Bacterial small subunit ribosomal RNA", at positions 28 to 430 of the family's 1533-position model. The record is from RNAcentral.